RNAcentral lists this unclassified non-coding RNA (355 nucleotides) under uncultured Glomeromycotina. Its description in RNAcentral is "sequence contains 28S rRNA gene". The record is from RNAcentral. Lineage: Eukaryota; Fungi; Glomeromycota.
AGAGUUAAACAGUACGUGAAAUUGUUGAAAGGGAAACGAUUGAAGUCAGUCAUGCUGGCGAGAAAUCAACUUGGUGGUCUACUUCCUUGUGCAUUUUCUCGCUUGGCAGGUUAGCAUCAAUUUUGGUUGUCAUCAAAGAAUUGGGGGAAUGUAGCUUCUCUUCGGAAAAGUGUUAUAGACCCUGAUAGAUGUGGCGACCGGGAUUGAGGUUUGCAGCGGAUGCCUUUGGCCAGUCACCUGUCUUCUGACCGUCACCUCGCUUUUGACAGCUUGCUGAUGAUUGCGGGAUUUGGCGAUCUAGAAGUUAGAGUGUACAUAAAUUCGCUAAGGAUGCUGACGUAAUGGCUUUAAACGA